Molecule: ribosomal RNA, 253 nt
Filed under: uncultured bacterium
Lineage: Bacteria
Description: partial 16S ribosomal RNA
Rfam family: Bacterial small subunit ribosomal RNA
Source: RNAcentral
UACGGAGGGAGCUAGCGUUGUUCGGAAUUACUGGGCGUAAAGCGCACGUAGGCGGCCGUUCAAGUCAGAGGUGAAAGCCCGGGGCUCAACCCCGGAAUAGCCUUUGAAACUAGAUGGCUUGAAUCUUGGAGAGGUCAGUGGAAUUACGAGUGUAGAGGUGAAACUCGUAGAUAUUCGGAAGAACACCAGUGGCGAAGGCGACUGACUGGACAAUUAUUGACGCUGAGGUGCGAAAGCGUGGGGAGCAAACAGG